CCGCUGAUCGUCCCCGCUGAUCGUCCCCGCUGAUCGUCCCCGCUGUCUCCCGGUCCGGGAGAGCCCCGGCCCUGCGCUCCGGCCCCCCGGCUGCGGGAGCAUCCCGCGAGGAGAAAGUGCCCGGCGGGGAAGUGCUGGGAGGGACAAGAGGGCCCCGCGAUGGCCGCGGCUCGCUCGUGCUGAUGCUACUGCCCUCUGCCCCGGCCGAGGUGGGAUUAUUGGCUCGCCAGCAUACCCGACGCUGAAAAGUUUUGAGAGCGUUUUUGUAAAAGCAGCCCAGAGCUACACAAGCUUCUUGCUGCGGGGUGGCAAGGCAAGGAGCCUGCAGCUUAAUCCCAUCAGCAGGAUGUUCCCCGGGGCUGUGGGUCACCCCAUGUCACCUCGGCAUUGGGGUUCGCCGAGCAGGACAGGCAGGCUAGUGGUGGCCAUACAAACUCGGCAGGGAGCUGCUCUCUUGCCUCUCUCAUGUUUUGCAAUAAGCUCUGCCUUUUCUUUCAAUAAAUAAUUACAAACCCACCAAUAUAUUAAA
Columba livia (rock pigeon) is the source of this 529-nucleotide long non-coding RNA. RefSeq lists it as uncharacterized. The transcript has 2 exons. NCBI's taxonomy places the organism in Eukaryota, Metazoa, Chordata, Aves, Columbiformes, Columbidae. The record is from RefSeq and is a predicted model, not a curated record.